AGAGUUUGAUUAUGGCUCAGGAUGAACGCUAGCUACAGGCUUAACACAUGCAAGUCGAGGGGCAGCAUUGGAGUAGCAAUACUUCAGAUGGCGACCGGCGCACGGGUGAGUAACACGUAUCCAACCUGCCGCUUACUCGGGGAUAGCCUUUCGAAAGAAAGAUUAAUACCCGAUGGUAUAAAGAGUUCGCAUGUUCUCUUUAUUAAAGAAUUUCGGUAAGCGAUGGGGAUGCGUUCCAUUAGAUAGUUGGCGGGGUAACGGCCCACCAAGUCUACGAUGGAUAGGGGUUCUGAGAGGAAGGUCCCCCACAUUGGAACUGAGACACGGUCCAAACUCCUACGGGAGGCAGCAGUGAGGAAUAUUGGUCAAUGGACGAGAGUCUGAACCAGCCAAAGUAGCGUGAAGGAUGACUGCCCUAUGGGUUGUAAACUUCUUUUAUAAGGGAAUAAAGUGAGGGACGUGUCCCUUUUUGUAUGUACCUUAUGAAUAAGGAUCGGCUAACUCCGUGCCAGCCGCGGC
Molecule: ribosomal RNA, 519 nt
Filed under: uncultured bacterium
Lineage: Bacteria
Description: bacterial SSU rRNA
Rfam family: Bacterial small subunit ribosomal RNA
Source: RNAcentral